UGAGCACCACAGCAUGAGAAUACUGCUUUCCCUCUCACUCUUAUUCAUGCCCCUGGCAGAGAGAUGGGGAGUGACGGAGGAAACCAUGAAAGGAGGAGGAGGAUGUGGGAGUCAAACAGUGGGAGGCACCGCGUGAGGAGUGAGGAAUGAUGAAAGAAUGGCUGCUGAGCAAGCCUUAGCAACACAGAGUUUGACUGGGUUAUUUAUAGUACAGUGGGACCCAUCGUCUCUAUCUCACAAUAGCUUCUGCUUCCCAUCUUCUCUCUCCCUCUUCUACAAAUCGUUUGCAUUUUCUGAGGCAGUGGGAGAGCGUGGGAGGAACAGCAAACGUUGUCGGAGGACGGGGACGAUGAGGUCACGGUUGCAGGAAGGAUCAUCUGUCAGAUUCAAGUCCGGACUCUUGUUGUCACUCAGAGCAUACUUCCAGUCAAAAGAUAUGUGUUGAAUAGAUUUUGUGUUGCCCUGCGAUGGACUGGCGACCUGUCCAGGGUGUAGCCUGC
Molecule: long non-coding RNA, 500 nt
Organism: Girardinichthys multiradiatus
Lineage: Eukaryota; Metazoa; Chordata; Actinopteri; Cyprinodontiformes; Goodeidae
Exons: 3
Source: RefSeq, a predicted model, not a curated record